This 858-nucleotide ribosomal RNA is filed under the name uncultured bacterium. Its description in RNAcentral is "bacterial SSU rRNA". It matches the Rfam family "Bacterial small subunit ribosomal RNA", at positions 524 to 1381 of the family's 1533-position model. The record is from RNAcentral.
UACGGAGGCGGCAAGCGUUACUCGGAUUUAUUGGGUGUAAAGGGCAUGUAGGUGGGUUUGUAAGUCGAAUGUGAAAUACCUUUGCUUAACGAAGGAACUGCAUUCGAAACUGCUUACCUUGAGUAUGGGAGAGGAAAGGGGAAUUCCCGGUGUAAGGGUGAAAUCUGUAGAUAUCGGGAGGAACACCAGUGGCGAAGGCGCCUUUCUGGCCCGAUACUGACACUGAAAUGCGAAAGCUACGGGAGCAAACAGGAUUAGAUACCCUGGUAGUCGUAGCUGUAAACGAUGGGCACUAGGUGUGGGUCCGCAUGGAUCCGUGCCGCAGUUAACACAUUAAGUGCCCCACCUGGGGAGUACGACGGCAACAUUGAAACUCAAAGGAAUUGACGGGGGCCCGCACAAGCGGUGGAGCAUGCGGUUUAAUAGGACGCUACGCCUGGAACCUUACCAGGGCUUGACAUACUGGAUGUAGAAACCUGAAAGGGUAACGACCUGUCAAAUCAGGAGCCAGAACAGGUGUUGCAUGGCUGUCGUCAGCUCGUGCUGUGAAGUGUCGGGUUAAGUCCCACAACGAGCGCAACCAUCGUCUUUAGUUACUAUCCGCAAGGAAGCACUCUAGAGAGACUGCCUCCGUAGAGGAGGAGGAAGGUGGUGAUGACGUCAAGUCAGUACGGCCCUUACGCCCUGGGCCACACGCGUGCUACAAUGGUCGGUACAAAGAGUUGCAAUACCGCAAGGUGGAGCUAAUCUCAAAAAGCCGGCCUCAGUUCAGAUUGAAGGCUGCAAUUCGCCUUCAUGAAGUUGGAGUCGCUAGUAACGGUGUAUCAGACACGAUACCGUGAAUACGCUCCCGGGCCU